Molecule: small nucleolar RNA, 105 nt
Organism: Cornus florida
Lineage: Eukaryota; Viridiplantae; Streptophyta; Magnoliopsida; Cornales; Cornaceae
Source: RefSeq, a predicted model, not a curated record
AUGUCAUGAUGAGGAGACUUCUGAAUGAGGUCUUUGAAUCUUUCCCAAGCUUCAUGAAAAGGCUCAUCAAGCCCUUGAGCAAAAUCACUAAUAACAUCUCGAUAU